GCGGCGACUGUAGCGACUAUCUCGAUCUGCGGACUCUUAAUCCGUAGGUCGAGUGUUCGAGUCAUUCACGCCCCACCA
This 78-nucleotide transfer RNA is filed under the name Burkholderia cepacia. Its description in RNAcentral is "tRNA-Lys". Lineage: Bacteria; Pseudomonadati; Pseudomonadota; Betaproteobacteria; Burkholderiales; Burkholderiaceae. The record is from RNAcentral.